AGAUGUAUGUAGGGAGAUGCUGAGUCCCAGCCUGCAGCACUGAUGGAGCAGCUGGGGAAAGGAGCCAGUCAGCCCUGGGAGCACAGGUGGAGGCAAUUCAGCUGUGAUAGGAAGGGAUGGAGCCUGGCUGCACCUCUCUUAGGCCUCAUUGAAGGGCUGGCUGCCAUUGGGGAAGGGUCUGUGGUUGGAGAUCACUCUAAUGUGAAAUUUUCCCUGUGAGCUUCAGAGGCAGAGACUGUUUGAUAUGGGAGCUGAGGCUGAAGAUUCUCCAAUGGAAUGACUCCAUUUCACUUUAAGAAGUGGCUUAUCUCCUGAGAAGAACAGGAAUACAGAUGUAACGUCUCACUGCUGGCUUACUACUGAAACAACUUGCUUAUUGCCUGAAGUUCACCUCCUUACAGAACAGACAGUUUAAAACACAGUGUCACAUACACCUUUGUCUGGAGUUCUGUUCCUUGAAGAGAUGCUAUUUUUGCAUUCCUUGGAUGAAGACUUUCAGUGUAAGUGCCUGUCUUGGUCCUACAGUUCCUGUUUGGUUCUUUCUCUAUCAAUUUUCCAUAACCCUGGGAAAGCCACUUAAUAGCUCUGCCUUGUUCAAGCCCAGACUGAAUGCCGACAACUGGAAACUGCACACUGACUUUGCCCCUCUCAUUGACUUGGAGAGAAGCCUCCGUAAGGAGGAAAAGGAACAAUUAAUUAGCAUCACUUCUUCUGGCAUCAUCCAUGCGAUCCAAAAAAUUGUAUGUAAGGUGCAGUGGGAUUGAAUGAUCAAGGUUGAUUCAAUAUAGGAAGUGCAUUUCUUUCGAAGAGGGGCUGGGUCAGCCUUAGAGAGGUUUGUGGUUAUUCCACUUUGUUUACACAACUGAUGUGGGUUUUGUUGUUGUCGUGUUGAGGUGUUGUUGGUCUCCUCUGUUCAAUGAAAAUGUGGAAGGAAUCAACUUACCUUUUUCAUUUACUAAAUAACAGAGAAGGGGAAUCGAGUGUUCUGUGCUUUACCCUUUUGAAGGCGUAACUGACAUGAAAGCUAGAAUGCAUCACAGAAGACAUUUUCUGCUGUUUGCAAAGUCGUCAGUUCCAGUGCCCCCGGUCAGCUCUGAGUUGCCCAGUACCCCUGGUCAACCCAUCUUCCCUGCAAUGAGAUCAGUGGAGAUCUCUGGGAUCUUUCCCAUCCGCAGCCUGUUACUGCAUUACACAGAAAUCUCCCAUUUAGCCUCUAAUCCUGGCAAGCAUUUCUUGGACCAUAUCACUAUCCUUUCAUGUUGGCCAAGUUUAAAGGGGAAGAAGGAGGAGGAGAAAGAUUAGCCAGCUGCUUUUAAAACCCAUCAGUGCACACUGUGUUUACUGAGAUGGGUAAUAAAGACAAGCUUUGGUUCUAUUGUUUUCAUUUUGGAUAAAGCCUGUGUUGUGUUUGGGGAACAGAGAUCUUGCACUUGUGUCCUAUGAUCAGCGUGCUGCUCAAGGACUGUAAGGAAUAAUCUUGUGCUCCAAAGGAAGUUGGCAAUAAAGUUUACUCUAUAAAAAGAAGCAGGCAGUCAGGAUACAGUUUCCUAUUCUGAGUCGAAGCAGUCAGAAAUUCCGACCUCGAGGGUCAGGAAAGAUUCCAGGACUUCCUGAAUCACGACUGGGAUGUGCAGCCGCCCUCCUGCUCCCUUCCUUUCACCCUUUUGGCUCGAGUCCCACUGGAAUCACUAUCCUCAAUUAUUUUAUUCAAUCCACCAUAUGCUGGGUGCUUAUUGAGAACACCUACCAUGCUUUCCCCCUGCUGUAGUUUCUCCUCCUGUGGUAACCGAGCACUGCUGUUUCUGCUCUGUGUGCUGUGCACAU
This is a long non-coding RNA of Lagopus muta (rock ptarmigan), 1824 nucleotides long. RefSeq lists it as uncharacterized. The transcript is spliced from 3 exons. NCBI's taxonomy places the organism in Eukaryota, Metazoa, Chordata, Aves, Galliformes, Phasianidae. The record is from RefSeq and is a predicted model, not a curated record.